CCUCCUAACUCUCUCCGAUCGUCCUAGCUCCAUACAUCGCUACCCUCCGUCCGUUGCCAUCAUCAUCAGGCUUCGAUCUUCUUUUCCUGACUCACUCUCUGGAAAUCAGUUUCUCUCCCUCCGACGAACAACGAAGUCGAACAACUCGUGUACCCAGCAAGGUUCAUGAUAGGUACAUUACGAGAUUGCGGAAGAAAUUACAGUUCGAGGAAAGAAAACAGGCUAAUCAGAGACGGGUAGUUUCUUACUUUUCCCAUUCUGCAUUUUCAGUUGUUAUUAAUUGCUUUAUUGGUUAAAAAUUAUGCAACCUGAAAUGUAACUUGAGUUAGAAUCCAAAUUCUAGACUACCAAGAGAUGUACUCAAUUAACGAUGAAACAAUAACAAGAUGAGAAAAGCAUUAGAAUUUGGAUGUCUUGGAUUUUCGGAUAUUUUGUAUGUUGAUUUGAUUUUUAGAUGUUGGAAGAUGUAAUAUUAUUAUUUUGGAUGUAUUGUUAAUCUAUGAACUUGGAUGUUGGACUUUGUAUUUA
This is a long non-coding RNA of Pyrus x bretschneideri (Chinese white pear), 528 nucleotides long. RefSeq lists it as uncharacterized. Lineage: Eukaryota; Viridiplantae; Streptophyta; Magnoliopsida; Rosales; Rosaceae. The transcript is spliced from 2 exons. The record is from RefSeq and is a predicted model, not a curated record.